UACGUAGGGUGCGAGCGUUAAUCGGAAUUACUGGGCGUAAAGCGUGCGCAGGCGGUUUUGUAAGCCAGAUGUGAAAGCCCCGGGCUCAACCUGGGAAUGGCCGUUGAAACUGGCGAACUGGAGUGUGGCAGAGGGGGGUGGAAUUCCGCGUGUAGCAGUGAAAUGCGUAGAGAUGCGGAGGAACACCGAUGGCGAAGGCAGCUCGCUGGGACGUUACUGACGCUGAGACGCGAAAGCGUGGGGAGCAAACAGG
Molecule: ribosomal RNA, 253 nt
Filed under: uncultured bacterium
Lineage: Bacteria
Description: partial 16S ribosomal RNA
Rfam family: Bacterial small subunit ribosomal RNA
Source: RNAcentral